GCUUCGAUAGCUCAGUAGGCAGAGCGUACGUCUCAUAAUCCAACAGAUCAAAUCAUCUGAUCAAGCCUAAGUCAGCGUAAGGCCGGGAGUUCGAUCCUCUCUCGAAGCA
This 109-nucleotide transfer RNA is filed under the name Seminavis robusta. It matches the Rfam family "tRNA". Rfam says of the family: Transfer RNA (tRNA) molecules are approximately 80 nucleotides in length. Their secondary structure includes four short double-helical elements and three loops (D, anti-codon, and T loops). Further hydrogen bonds mediate the characteristic L-shaped molecular structure. tRNAs have two regions of fundamental functional importance: the anti-codon, which is responsible for specific mRNA codon recognition, and the 3' end, to which the tRNAs corresponding amino acid is attached (by aminoacyl-tRNA synthetases). tRNAs cope with the degeneracy of the genetic code in two manners: having more than one tRNA (with a specific anti-codon) for a particular amino acid; and 'wobble' base-pairing, i.e. permitting non-standard base-pairing at the 3rd anti-codon position. Lineage: Eukaryota; Bacillariophyta; Bacillariophyceae; Naviculales; Naviculaceae. The record is from Rfam by way of RNAcentral.